CUACAGGCUUAACACAUGCAAGUCGAGGGGCAGCAUGGUCUUAGCUUGCUAAGGCCGAUGGCGACCGGCGCACGGGUGAGUAACACGUAUCCAACCUGCCGUCUACUCUUGGACAGCCUUCUGAAAGGAAGAUUAAUACAAGAUGGCAUCAUGAGUCCGCAUGUUCACAUGAUUAAAGGUAUUCCGGUAGACGAUGGGGAUGCGUUCCAUUAGAUAGUAGGCGGGGUAACGGCCCACCUAGUCUUCGAUGGAUAGGGGUUCUGAGAGGAAGGUCCCCCACAUUGGAACUGAGACACGGUCCAAACUCCUACGGGAGGCAGCAGUGAGGAAUAUUGGUCAAUGGGCGAGAGCCUGAACCAGCCAAGUAGCGUGAAGGACGACUGCCCUAUGGGUUGUAAACUUCUUUUAUAAAGGAAUAAAGUCGGGUAUGGAUACCCGUUUGCAUGUACUUUAUGAAUAAGGAUCGGCUAACUCCGUGCCAGCAGCCGCGGUAAUACGGAGGAUCCGAGCGUUAUCCGGAUUUAUUGGGUUUAAAGGGAGCGUAGAUGGAUGUUUAAGUCAGUUGUGAAAGUUUGCGGCUCAACCGUAAAAUUGCAGUUGAUACUGGAUAUCUUGAGUACAGUUGAGGUAGGCGGAAUUCGUGGUGUAGCGGUGAAAUGCUUAGAUAUCACGAAGAACUCCGAUUGCGAAGGCAGCUUACUAACCUGUAACUGACAUUGAUGCUCGAAAGUGUGGGUAUCAAACAGGAUUAGAUACCCUGGUAGUCCACACGGUAAACGAUGAAUACUCGCUGUAGGCGAUAUACAGUCUGCGGCCAAGCGAAAGCAUUAAGUAUUCCACCUGGGGAGUACGCCGGCAACGGUGAAACUCAAAGGAAUUGACGGGGGCCCGCACAAGCGGAGGAACAUGUGGUUUAAUUCGAUGAUACGCGAGGAACCUUACCCGGGCUUAAAUUGCAGAUGAAUUACGGUGAAAGCCGUAAGCCGCAAGGCAUCUGUGAAGGUGCUGCAUGGUUGUCGUCAGCUCGUGCCGUGAGGUGUCGGCUUAAGUGCCAUAACGAGCGCAACCCUUGUUGUCAGUUACUAACAGGUUCCGCUGAGGACUCUGACAAGACUGCCAUCGUAAGAUGUGAGGAAGGUGGGGAUGACGUCAAAUCAGCACGGCCCUUACGUCCGGGGCUACACACGUGUUACAAUGGGGGGUACAGAGGGCCGCUACCACGCGAGUGGAUGCCAAUCCCCAAAACCUCUCUCAGUUCGGACUGGAGUCUGCAACCCGACUCCACGAAGCUGGAUUCGCUAGUAAUCGCGCAUCAGCCACGGCGCGGUGAAUACGUUCCCGGGCCUUGUACACACCGCCCGUCAAGCCAUGGGAGCCGGGGGUACCUGAAGUGCGUAACCGCGAGGAGCGCCCUAGGGUAAAACUGGUGACUGGGGCUAA
This 1440-nucleotide ribosomal RNA is filed under the name uncultured organism. Its description in RNAcentral is "SSU rRNA". It matches the Rfam family "Bacterial small subunit ribosomal RNA". The record is from RNAcentral.